Molecule: ribosomal RNA, 440 nt
Filed under: uncultured bacterium
Lineage: Bacteria
Description: partial 16S ribosomal RNA
Rfam family: Bacterial small subunit ribosomal RNA
Source: RNAcentral
CCUACGGGAGGCAGCAGUGGGGAAUAUUGCACAAUGGGGGAAACCCUGAUGCAGCGACGCCGCGUGAGCGAAGAAGUAUCUCGGUAUGUAAAGCUCUAUUAGCAGGGAAGAAAAUGACGGUACGUGAGCACGAAGCUCCGGCUAAAUACGUGCCACCAGCCGAGGUAAUACGUCUGGAGCAACCGUUAUCCGGAUUUACUGGGCGUAAAGGGAGCGUAGGCGGGCUGCCAAGUCUGAUGUGAAAGACCGGGGUUCAACCCCGGGGCUGCAGUGGAAACUGGCAGGCUUGAGUGCCGGAGAGGCAGGCGGAAUGCCUAGUGUAGCGGUGAAAUGCGUAGAUAUUAGGAGGAACACCAGUGGCGAAGGCAGCCUGCUGGACGGUGACUGACGCUGAGGCUCGAAAGCGUGGGGAGCAAACAGGAUUAGAUACCCUAGUAGUC